This 1343-nucleotide ribosomal RNA is filed under the name uncultured bacterium. Its description in RNAcentral is "16S ribosomal RNA". It matches the Rfam family "Bacterial small subunit ribosomal RNA", at positions 28 to 1378 of the family's 1533-position model. The record is from RNAcentral.
GACGAACGCUGGCGGCGUGCUUAACACAUGCAAGUCGAACGGAAAGGCCCUGCUUUUGUGGGGUGCUCGAGUGGCGAACGGGUGAGUAACACGUGAGUAACCUGCCCUUGACUUUGGGAUAACUUCAGGAAACUGGGGCUAAUACCGGAUAGGAGCUCCUGCUGCAUGGUGGGGGUUGGAAAGUUUCGGCGGUUGGGGAUGGACUCGCGGCUUAUCAGCUUGUUGGUGGGGUAGUGGCUUACCAAGGCUUUGACGGGUAGCCGGCCUGAGAGGGUGACCGGCCACAUUGGGACUGAGAUACGGCCCAGACUCCUACGGGAGGCAGCAGUGGGGAAUAUUGCACAAUGGGCGGAAGCCUGAUGCAGCAACGCCGCGUGCGGGAUGACGGCCUUCGGGUUGUAAACCGCUUUCGCCUGUGACGAAGCGUGAGUGACGGUAAUGGGUAAAGAAGCACCGGCUAACUACGUGCCAGCAGCCGCGGUGAUACGUAGGGUGCGAGCGUUGUCCAGAUUUAUUGGGCGUAAAGGGCUCGUAGGUGGUUGAUCGCGUCGGAAGUGUAAUCUUGGGGCUUAACCCUGAGCGUGCUUUCGAUACGGGUUGACUUGAGGAAGGUAGGGGAGAAUGGAAUUCCUGGUGGAGCGGUGGAAUGCGCAGAUAUCAGGAGGAACACCAGUGGCGAAGGCGGUUCUCUGGGCCUUUCCUGACGCUGAGGAGCGAAAGCGUGGGGAGCGAACAGGCUUAGAUACCCUGGUAGUCCACGCUGUAAACGGUAGGUACUAGGUGUGGGGUCCAUUCCACGGGUUCCGUGCCGUAGCUAACGCUUUAAGUACCCCGCCUGGGGAGUACGGCCGCAAGGCUAAAACUCAAAGGAAUUGACGGGGCCCCGCACAAGCGGCGGAGCAUGCGGAUUAAUUCGAUGCAACGCGUAGAACCUUACCUGGGUUUGACAUGGAUCGGGAGCGCUCAGAGAUGGGUGUGCCUCUUUUGGGGUCGGUUCACAGGUGGUGCAUGGCUGUCGUCAGCUCGUGUCGUGAGAUGUUGGGUUAAGUCCCGCAACGAGCGCAACCCUUGUUCACUGUUGCCAGCACGUUAUGGUGGGGACUCAGUGGAGACCGCCGGGGUCAACUCGGAGGAAGGUGGGGAUGACGUCAAGUCAUCAUGCCCCUUAUGUCCAGGGCUUCACGCAUGCUACAAUGGCUGGUACAGAGAGUGGCGAGCCUGUGAGGGUGAGCGAAUCUCGGAAAGCCGGUCUCAGUUCGGAUUGGGGUCUGCAACUCGACCUCAUGAAGUCGGAGUCGCUAGUAAUCGCAGAUCAGCAACGCUGCGGUGAAUACGUUCCCGGG